Molecule: long non-coding RNA, 2312 nt
Organism: Gasterosteus aculeatus aculeatus (three-spined stickleback)
Lineage: Eukaryota; Metazoa; Chordata; Actinopteri; Perciformes; Gasterosteidae
Source: Ensembl
GGGGGAGUAGUCGUUGCCGGCGGAACAACUGAACCGAGGGGGGGGGGGUAGUAGUCGAUGCGGACGGAACGACCGACGGGGAGGGGGGUAGUAGUCGCGCGCUCUGUGUUCGCUGGUCGUGCACGGUAAAAGGACAAGAAAAACGCCUGGUGACGCGUAGAUUAGAAAACAAGUCAGUUCUCAAUGUGAAAAAAACCCUGCUGUAUAGGCUAUUUCUGAUGACAUAGGUAGUACAUGAGUGUUCCUUUAACUUAUGUUGUCAGUGUAAUUGACAGGCUGCUUAACUGGUUAACUCUUAAUUCAACAUGUUUUUCAGGCAGUGAGAGGACAGGCAAUGAUGCAGAGAGCACAGGGAGAGGAGAAACACCAGGUCCAAUAGAGAGAGAAGCACAGAGGAGCCAUGAACCCCAGGAGCCAUGAACCCCAGAACACGUGUUCUGGGGUUCAUGGCUCCUCUGUGCAAGGCAGGACCUGACGUGGAGGACAAGGAGACUCCGUAUGUAGAUAGUUCUUAAUCUGCAAUUGUGUUGUGUUGACAUACUUUUCUUUACUAUUUUCUUAAAUUUAACAUUUAACAUAAUGCAGUAUAGCCAGGACAGCCUUACAGUCGCGAGGCUUCGCAUCGCGUUGCUUCGCAUCGAGGUCUGUAUGAUCACAAAAUUCAGAGUUUACCCACCUCUAAUUUUACCACUACAGCACUGAGAAAGACCCAUUGUGGUUUUAGAGGCAGUUACAGCACACAUAGCUUUUAGCAGACCCAAUGCACAGAUGCACUAGUAAACUGUUGUUCAACUCCAAAUUCAAGGAAUCAAACUGUUUUGAUUUAUCUAUUCACGUUGCACUAUUUACGUUGUAAAAAAGGUUUAUUUCUUUUAAUAAACUGUUUUUCACUUUGGAAGGAGUCAGACUUGUACCUUUUACCCACUUCCAGUUUUUCUACUAGGCUAAGUUAAUUCCUUCUCCAUACUCCAUUCUUCAAAAUGAAGACAUUUGGAUCACAUUGUAUUCUUCAUGUGAGAGCUCCGCCCAUGAGGAUCUUUGGGAAUAUCCAUGAGUAGUUUGGGUCUCAUUAUGGGUACCAAGUCAUCCUCGCUCAGCCAGAGAAGCCCAGAGACUUACAGUGCAUCCGGAAAGUAUUCACAAAGCUUCACUUUUUCCACAUUUUGUUAUGUUACAGCCUUAUUCCAAAAUGGAUUAAAUUCAUUAUUUUCCUCAACAUUCUACACACAACCACCCAUAAUGACAAAGUGAAAACUGUUUUUUGCAAAUCUGCUAAAAAUAAAGAACGAAAACAUAACAAGUACAUAAUGUGAUGUCACGAGAGGCUGGGUCUUGGAAGGGAGGUACGUUCACCGAAGAUGGCUAUAACUGGUAUGGCUCCAUCUGCCGGUGGAGUUAGGAACCCCACUCCGAGCAUCCCCCUCACAUCUGAAACCCAUCAGGGUAUGACGACCUGAAGGCCUUCAUAAGGGUGGGAGACACACCAUUGAGGGGAAGAGAGAGACGAGCUGCAGGUUGGGCCCGAUGCAGAAGACCUAUACAGGAGGAUUCCCGGAGACCGGAGGGACUGAGAAGACGAGGCAUUAUUUAAGUUUUACCAGCGAAGAUCGACCGAAGCCUAAGUUACACAUUUUUGACUACUGUUUUCUGUUGAAGCCAAAGGACGUGAAUUAAACCUUUUGUUUACAUUUUGAACCUGGUGUCCUUGCACUACCCCAGUGAGAGCGGCGCUGCCUCUCAUGACAUCACAAUAAGUAUUCACAGCCUUUGCUCAAUACUUUGUUGAAGCACCUUUGGCAGCAAUUACAGCCUCAAGUCUUCUUGGGUAUGAUUCCACAAGCGUGGCACACCUAUUUCUGGGCAGUUUCUCUCAUUCUUCUUUGCAGAACCUCUCCAGUUCCAUCAGGUUGGAUGGGGAGCAUCGGUGCACAGCCAUUUUCAGAUCUCUCCAGAGAUGUUCAACCGGGUUCAAGUCAGGGCUCUGGCUGGGCCACUCAAGGACAUUCACAGAGUUGUGCCGAAGCCACUCCUUUGUUAUCUUGGCUGUGUGCUUCGGGUCGUUGUCCUGUUGGAAGAUGAACCGUCGCCCCAGUCGGAGGUCCAGAGCGCUUUGGAGCAUGUUUUCAUCGAGGAUGUCUCUGUACAUUGCUGCAUUCAUCUUUCCCUCAAUCCUGACUAGUCUCCCAGUUCCUCCUGCUGAAAAACAUCCCCACAGCAUGAUGCUGCCACCACCAUGCUUCACUGUAGGGAUGGUAUUGGCCAGGUGAUGAGCAGUGCCUGGUUUCCUCCACAUGACGCUUGGCAUUCAGGCC